RNAcentral lists this long non-coding RNA (1018 nucleotides) under Oncorhynchus mykiss (rainbow trout). Its description in RNAcentral is "lncRNA (ENSOMYG00000064122.1)". Lineage: Eukaryota; Metazoa; Chordata; Actinopteri; Salmoniformes; Salmonidae. The record is from RNAcentral.
AUGACAAUAAAUACAAGCAAGCCCAACACCCGAGGAGACUGCUGGGAACCGACAGGACAGACAGCCCAGCCACAGAGAGGAGAAGAGGCCAAGAGGAGGAUGGGGGAGAGGGAGAUGGAUGUAGAGCAGAGCAAGAAGGUGAAAUAUGCUGAUAGAGCGUACCAAAAGAGAUUGAUAGAGAAAAGAGAGGGUGAAAUGGAAGAGCUGGAUUUGAACCAGGGACUGAAUAGCCCUUAACUGUUCUAUGGGGCCAGAUCCAUAAUGAUUACAUUUACUUUGGAAAUGUAGUAAUGGAUUCCCCCAUUAAGCGUGGGGGAAUCCACUUUACAAAAUAAAGAUUCUACAUAAAAUAUCGGUUUGCACUCGGUUUCCUAAACUACGGCCCACACUCUGUUCAGAGGUGCUAAGUACUCUCGGCCGUCAAACGCUAUUGGUGUGUCCGAGCCUUUAGCUCUGAUGGCUCCGAAAACUACGCCAACGGGGUUCAGUCAGUCAGUCAGACUACAGAACAGAUUUCAUCCUUCCCUCUCAAAUGUGUCAACUUGUCUGUAACAACCUGUGCCUUCUGAGCUGGUGGUGGGCACUUACUGACUACUGCACAAAUAUCCCCCCCCAUACCUCCAUCCACCAUUUGUCCCAGGCAGAGACUGUUUGUCACAAAUGGUUCUGUCUUUGACCACACUGCUUGUUCCCCUUAUAUGGUAUCUGGCGAGUUUGGGAAGAGAGAGGACCUUAGUUUAGUCUGAGAGUUGUUUUGUGGUCAGAUUCCUGCUAUCAUGAAAAAAAAGCAAUACAUUUUGGAAACAGAUCUGAUACCAUUUUCCCAAUUUAACCCCUAAGAAGCUGCAUAGCAAAACCACUGUCAUAAACUAAGUGAAGUUCAGUUUAUCGUCUUGAUAAAUAGAUAGAGUUCAACUACAUAAAACAGUGGUGAAAUGCCAUAUAUACUGUCAUGGGGUGAAACAAUGAGUGAAGUUAAGAUGAGUGAGGUCAAGUCAUGUGAAGGAAUGCGUGAUAC